AACUGUAGUAUCCAAUCAGGACAAUGUCUACAAACCCGAAUUUAUCGCCACCAAAGUAAGGUUUAUCUCCUAGCUCACAUUGAAGUGUCUUGAGUAUUUCAAUAUACUCCUUUGUGGCUGCUUCAAGCUCCUCACCUUUGGUUGCCCAAGUCUUUCUCCCACAAACAAACAACUGAUCAUUGUGACACAAGGAAUAUACGCACACAUGAGUUACAAGCAAAACCCUAGAAUUUGAUCUGAAAUCUUUCAAUUGCAAAUUUAAUACUAUAAUAGGGCUAUAUUAUAUACCGUUAAGAAUUUCACUUUAUAAGAGAGAUAAAAUUCACUUUUUAUAUACCAAUUGAUUUGUAGUUGCAAAUCCAUAUAACUUAACAAUGAAUAAGGAUCUCACAAAAAAUUUAGAGCCAAAGGACACUAAAAUUUAUAGACAGUACUUGUUGUUACCUUCUUUUCGAUGAAAUCGGCCCAAAAUAAGGCUUGAGCUCUUUGGUAGGAAUCCGUAGGGAGGAAUGGGUUCUUGUCGGACCAGACUUCGUCUAUGUAUUGGAUUUGGAUGAUGGAUUCACAAACCGGUUUACCAUUGUGGAUGAGUACCGGGAUCUUUUUGUGAAUCGGAUUCAUCUCUAGAAGCAAGGGACUCUUGUUAUUGAUCACAUCCUCUUCUCUAUACUCAUAGUUCACUCCUUUCUCCUCUAACGCGAUCAUCGUUCUCAUUCCGAACAUGCUCGGCCAGAAAUUCAGAAGGAUCACUUCCUCUGCCAUUGUUGCGAUCCGUGAAGCUUUUCUUUCUUGAGUGGUCUCUUAUUAAAUGUGUAGCGUCUUUAGGCUGUUUAUAAGGGGGUAACAUGUCAUUUAUUAAAUGUUUUUGGCCAACCCUAUUAAACCGUUUUAAUAAAAUCAAAGUGUGAUAAUUUAUAAUUUCUUUAUAAUAAUGCUACUGCCUACUGGUGUAUUAAGAUAUGAGAUACUAUAUGCGGCUGGUUAGAGAAACCAUACAUAUUUUAACAGAGUAGUUUGAUACGUUACCUUUGGAAAAAACAGUAGUCUGAUAAAUCAAGGUUUUAAAAUAUUUUAUUGAUGCAUUUACAAUCUUUUUGCCGAGAGAAAAAUCACAAUUUUUGUCUAGUAGAGUAGUCAUGACAGAGAAGUUUAGCAUUUCCUAGUGAUGGUUCAAAGUUUAGUCGAAACAGAGCAUCCGAUUUUCAGAACAAGACUCCACCUAACUAAUUACAAAAUACUCUGCACUAUCAGGAACGACAAAACACAACACAACAAAGAGCUAAACAGAACAGAAAAAAUAAAAAAUAAAAAUCAAUAAUUAUAUGCGGCUGGUUAGAAUUAAUCAAAAGUAUCCUUUCAAAAAAUUGGAUCAGAGUGUAAAUCAAGGUUUACAAAUGUUUCUUUUUGGUGAUGAAUAAUACAACAUCUCCUCUUUGCUUCUUCUUAGUUCGUACAACUUAUGAAUGGUGACUACAGUAAUGCUAUACGGAUAUGAAACUCAAACUUUAACUAGUUUUUUUCUAGCAAUUGAAUGACGUGUGUAGAAUAGAAUUGUAUUGUUGAUUAAUAAAACAACAGAACACACUUGUAAAUGAUAGGGUUAAUUUGGUGGUUGAAUAGUGUGACGAAAAGAUAAUUAGAGAAAAGUUGUAGGUGAGCCACACCGUAGUGGAGUCUCCACUCAAAGCCUCAAAGUAAGGGAACUGACCAGCUUUUAUGUUAGUGAUCAGUAUGCUAUAAUCUCUUAAGAAAAAUAAAAAGAAAAAAAAAAUAAAUCCUAAUAAUAGUGAUAAUGGAUUAGAGGUGUUUUUACUUUUUAGGGGAGUUUAAGACCAUCUCCAAUGUAUUUCUUUAUUUUUAGUUUUCUAUAAUAGAGGUGAGUUUUCUCUAUUUUUACUCCAAUGUGUUCCUCUAUUUUUUUUUCUAUAAAAUUUAACUCUAUUUAUAGGGAAAAAAAUAGAGAUUCUCUAUAUCAUCCUUUAUAUAUAGAGCAAAAAAUAGAGAUCUUUAUUUUAGAGGUGGGAAUAGAGGUGGGUUGGAGUAAAUUUGCCUAUAAAAUAGAGUUUAGAGGCAAAUAUAGAGGUUGGUUGGAGAUGCUCUAAGAGAGUGCCAUGUCCUCCCAAAAUUGGUUGAGAAAUGAGAACCCAAAUUUCUUUUAAUCUUACUUUUGUAGAGCCUCUACCACUACUUCUUGCAUGAUUGUAACGUGGCCACCUCCUUUAUUGAUUGCUCUGUAUUAUAUUACUAUAUACUACUAAACAAAAGAAGUCCAACUUUUUCUUGUGUCUGUUGUUAUUCUACUAAACUACUUGGUGAAUACGACCAUCGAAACAAAUUUUAUUUAAAUUCCAUACUUAGGAUGGAUACAAACCACAACACACAGUCACUAAGGCUCUCUCGCAUUAUUAGGGGGAAGAAAAAAACAAAGAUAAAAAAACAGAACACAGCUUAGCAACAAGAGAGCAACAAGAUUACUCAGAUCAGAGAUUGUUUUUCCUAUACUCAGCAGCAUAUGCAACAAUCUUCUCAGAGUCAGGGAGAGACUUAGACACACUCUCUUUCUCCAUGCACCUCUUUGCCCAAGCGAUCAGUUUCGGACUCUCUGAUUCGAUGCUAAAGUUACCAAACUUCUCAUAGGCUUGGAACCAGCUGGAGAAUGUAAUCAAGGAAAUGUCUACAUACCCAAAGCUAUCUCCACCAAAGUAAGGUUUAUCUCCUAGCUCAGUUUCAAGAAUCUUCACUGCCUCAAUAAAUUCCUUCUUUCCUGCUUCUUGUUCCUCCCCUUUCUUCCCCCAUAUCUUGAAUUGGGCGUCGGUGAACUUAAUUCCAUUACAGAAUAUCAAAUUAUGUCAGAGGAAUCCAAAAACUCAAUUUUUAGAUCAACCCUAAAUAACAUUGUUUCAAACUCAAGUUAAGAAAUCUAGGGCACAAAAGGGAUUAGUUACCUUCUUGUCCACGAAAUCGGCCCAAAAUCGAGCCUGAGCUCUCCCGUAAGGAUCGGAAGGAAAGAACGGGUUCU
RNAcentral lists this long non-coding RNA (3019 nucleotides) under Arabidopsis lyrata. Its description in RNAcentral is "long non-coding RNA (ALYR_LNC002904)". Lineage: Eukaryota; Viridiplantae; Streptophyta; Magnoliopsida; Brassicales; Brassicaceae. The record is from RNAcentral.